RNAcentral lists this ribosomal RNA (331 nucleotides) under uncultured bacterium. RNAcentral's name for it is "bacterial SSU rRNA". It matches the Rfam family "Bacterial small subunit ribosomal RNA", at positions 568 to 897 of the family's 1533-position model. The record is from RNAcentral.
CGUGCAGGCGGUUUGGUAAGUUGGAUGUGAAAGCUCCUGGCUCAACUGGGAGAGGUCGUUCAAUACUACCAGACUUGAGAGUGGUAGAGGGAGGUGGAAUUCCCGGUGUAGUGGUGAAAUGCGUAGAUAUCGGGAGGAACACCAGUGGCGAAAGCGGCCUCCUGGACCAUUUCUGACGCUCAGACGCGAAAGCUAGGGGAGCAAACGGGAUUAGAGACCCCGGUAGUCCUAGCUGUAAACGAUGUGAACUUGGCGUCGGUGGUGUAAAAACCAUCGGUGCCGUAGCCAACGCGAUAAGUUCACCGCCUGGGGACUACGGCCGCAAGGUUAA